Molecule: long non-coding RNA, 953 nt
Organism: Oncorhynchus mykiss (rainbow trout)
Lineage: Eukaryota; Metazoa; Chordata; Actinopteri; Salmoniformes; Salmonidae
Source: RefSeq, a predicted model, not a curated record
GGAGAGGGAUCCUGAGGCUUCCUGUGAAUAGGCAGAGACCAAUAGAGUGAUGGGAAAAAAUAUGUGCUUCUGUAAAGUAGGUUUCUUGGCAUUCAUAGCCAUGGUUGUCAAUUGUACUGCAGAAAUGGAUGGAAAGUUACAGAAAAUGAAAGGUUGUGGUAGCAGCGGCAGAGAAAUACUUGAGUGCAAGGUUUUACUUCAGAACAGUUGCAGUGGGUGUUGAAUGGUAAUGUUCUGUCCUCCCAGACAGUUGGUCUGAAAUAGGAUUAGAUAGGGUAAAUGGUGGUGGUAUUAUUUUUUUAAUAAAAAUAUAUAUAUUUGAGAGGGCUAUUAGUUGGCAGAGUAAUUUUUCAUUUUCCUCGAUUUUAUAGUACCGUAUCACAAAGAAUUCAAUGUGGGUAGGCUGUGAAUGGCCUCACAUUCCAGUACAGUAGGUGGCAGUGUAUGCACCUUAAAUUGGAUACGAUCGCUCCAACACAUUCCCAAAGAAGAAGAAUGGGCGGCAUGGUGCAUUCUGGGCGAUUCUUGGACUAUGUGUGUUUGAGUGGUAAGCCUAAAGGAAGCCGACUGUAGGCGAAAGUUGUUGACAGACGUCUUUGGCUUCGCUCCAGACAGGCUCAGCUAGUAGAACUUACAUCACCAUGACAACCGACGUGGAGAUGCUUGCUCAGCAGAUAGUGGUCCAUGAGCAGGUGGCAGAGCGAGGCCCUGCAAGCGGAGGCUCUAGCCAGGAUGGAGGCUGCUAACCCAGCCAAGUUUGGGCCUGAGAAGUACUGUCUGAAAGGAGGUCCCCUGCGACCAGCACCACCCAAAGAGAUGACAGGGAAAGACCACGCUCAGGUGCUAGCUGCACAGGACUAAGGUUGGAAGGAAUCAUGGACUGAACUGUUAUUUAGUAGUAUAUCAUGUUUCACUGGAAAUAUUGUGGAUGUUUCUGUACAUUAAAAACCAGA